UACGGAGGGUGCAAGCGUUAUCCGGAUUCACUGGGUUUAAAGGGUGCGUAGGUGGGUCUGUAAGUCCGUGGUGAAAUCUCCAAGCUUAACUUGGAAACUGCCAUGGAUACUAUAGGUCUUGAAUACCGUGGGGGUGAGCGGAAUAUGUCAUGUAGCGGUGAAAUGCUUAGAUAUGACAUAGAACACCGAUAGCGAAGGCAGCUUGCUACACAAUCAUUGACACUGAGGCACGAAAGCGUGGGGAUCAAACAGG
This 253-nucleotide ribosomal RNA is filed under the name uncultured bacterium. Its description in RNAcentral is "partial 16S ribosomal RNA". It matches the Rfam family "Bacterial small subunit ribosomal RNA", at positions 524 to 776 of the family's 1533-position model. The record is from RNAcentral.